This 2927-nucleotide ribosomal RNA is filed under the name Escherichia coli. RNAcentral describes it as "bacterial LSU rRNA". It matches the Rfam family "Bacterial large subunit ribosomal RNA". Lineage: Bacteria; Pseudomonadati; Pseudomonadota; Gammaproteobacteria; Enterobacterales; Enterobacteriaceae. The record is from RNAcentral.
GGGUUGUGAGGUUAAGCGACUAAGCGUACACGGUGGAUGCCCUGGCAGUCAGAGGCGAUGAAGGACGUGCUAAUCUGCGAUAAGCGUCGGUAAGGUGAUAUGAACCGUUAUAACCGGCGAUUUCCGAAUGGGGAAACCCAGUGUGAUUCGUCACACUAUCAUUAACUGAAUCCAUAGGUUAAUGAGGCGAACCGGGGGAACUGAAACAUCUAAGUACCCCGAGGAAAAGAAAUCAACCGAGAUUCCCCCAGUAGCGGCGAGCGAACGGGGAGCAGCCCAGAGCCUGAAUCAGUGUGUGUGUUAGUGGAAGCGUCUGGAAAGGCGCGCGAUACAGGGUGACAGCCCCGUACACAAAAAUGCACAUGCUGUGAGCUCGAUGAGUAGGGCGGGACACGUGGUAUCCUGUCUGAAUAUGGGGGGACCAUCCUCCAAGGCUAAAUACUCCUGACUGACCGAUAGUGAACCAGUACCGUGAGGGAAAGGCGAAAAGAACCCCGGCGAGGGGAGUGAAAAAGAACCUGAAACCGUGUACGUACAAGCAGUGGGAGCACAGAGCAAUCUGUGUGACUGCGUACCUUUUGUAUAAUGGGUCAGCGACUUAUAUUCUGUAGCAAGGUUAACCGAAUAGGGGAGCCGAAGGGAAACCGAGUCUUAACUGGGCGUUAAGUUGCAGGGUAUAGACCCGAAACCCGGUGAUCUAGCCAUGGGCAGGUUGAAGGUUGGGUAACACUAACUGGAGGACCGAACCGACUAAUGUUGAAAAAUUAGCGGAUGACUUGUGGCUGGGGGUGAAAGGCCAAUCAAACCGGGAGAUAGCUGGUUCUCCCCGAAAGCUAUUUAGGUAGCGCCUCGUGAAUUCAUCUCCGGGGGUAGAGCACUGUUUCGGCAAGGGGGUCAUCCCGACUUACCAACCCGAUGCAAACUGCGAAUACCGGAGAAUGUUAUCACGGGAGACACACGGCGGGUGCUAACGUCCGUCGUGAAGAGGGAAACAACCCAGACCGCCAGCUAAGGUCCCAAAGUCAUGGUUAAGUGGGAAACGAUGUGGGAAGGCCCAGACAGCCAGGAUGUUGGCUUAGAAGCAGCCAUCAUUUAAAGAAAGCGUAAUAGCUCACUGGUCGAGUCGGCCUGCGCGGAAGAUGUAACGGGGCUAAACUAUGCACCGAAGCUGCGGCAGCGACGCUUAUGCGUUGUUGGGUAGGGGAGCGUUCUGUAAGCCUGCGAAGGUGUGCUGUGAGGCAUGCUGGAGGUAUCAGAAGUGCGAAUGCUGACAUAAGUAACGAUAAAGCGGGUGAAAAGCCCGCUCGCCGGAAGACCAAGGGUUCCUGUCCAACGUUAAUCGGGGCAGGGUGAGUCGACCCCUAAGGCGAGGCCGAAAGGCGUAGUCGAUGGGAAACAGGUUAAUAUUCCUGUACUUGGUGUUACUGCGAAGGGGGGACGGAGAAGGCUAUGUUGGCCGGGCGACGGUUGUCCCGGUUUAAGCGUGUAGGCUGGUUUUCCAGGCAAAUCCGGAAAAUCAAGGCUGAGGCGUGAUGACGAGGCACUACGGUGCUGAAGCAACAAAUGCCCUGCUUCCAGGAAAAGCCUCUAAGCAUCAGGUAACAUCAAAUCGUACCCCAAACCGACACAGGUGGUCAGGUAGAGAAUACCAAGGCGCUUGAGAGAACUCGGGUGAAGGAACUAGGCAAAAUGGUGCCGUAACUUCGGGAGAAGGCACGCUGAUAUGUAGGUGAAGUCCCUCGCGGAUGGAGCUGAAAUCAGUCGAAGAUACCAGCUGGCUGCAACUGUUUAUUAAAAACACAGCACUGUGCAAACACGAAAGUGGACGUAUACGGUGUGACGCCUGCCCGGUGCCGGAAGGUUAAUUGAUGGGGUUAGCGCAAGCGAAGCUCUUGAUCGAAGCCCCGGUAAACGGCGGCCGUAACUAUAACGGUCCUAAGGUAGCGAAAUUCCUUGUCGGGUAAGUUCCGACCUGCACGAAUGGCGUAAUGAUGGCCAGGCUGUCUCCACCCGAGACUCAGUGAAAUUGAACUCGCUGUGAAGAUGCAGUGUACCCGCGGCAAGACGGAAAGACCCCGUGAACCUUUACUAUAGCUUGACACUGAACAUUGAGCCUUGAUGUGUAGGAUAGGUGGGAGGCUUUGAAGUGUGGACGCCAGUCUGCAUGGAGCCGACCUUGAAAUACCACCCUUUAAUGUUUGAUGUUCUAACGUGGACCCGUAAUCCGGGUUGCGGACAGUGUCUGGUGGGUAGUUUGACUGGGGCGGUCUCCUCCUAAAGAGUAACGGAGGAGCACGAAGGUUGGCUAAUCCUGGUCGGACAUCAGGAGGUUAGUGCAAUGGCAUAAGCCAGCUUGACUGCGAGCGUGACGGCGCGAGCAGGUGCGAAAGCAGGUCAUAGUGAUCCGGUGGUUCUGAAUGGAAGGGCCAUCGCUCAACGGAUAAAAGGUACUCCGGGGAUAACAGGCUGAUACCGCCCAAGAGUUCAUAUCGACGGCGGUGUUUGGCACCUCGAUGUCGGCUCAUCACAUCCUGGGGCUGAAGUAGGUCCCAAGGGUAUGGCUGUUCGCCAUUUAAAGUGGUACGCGAGCUGGGUUUAGAACGUCGUGAGACAGUUCGGUCCCUAUCUGCCGUGGGCGCUGGAGAACUGAGGGGGGCUGCUCCUAGUACGAGAGGACCGGAGUGGACGCAUCACUGGUGUUCGGGUUGUCAUGCCAAUGGCACUGCCCGGUAGCUAAAUGCGGAAGAGAUAAGUGCUGAAAGCAUCUAAGCACGAAACUUGCCCCGAGAUGAGUUCUCCCUGACUCCUUGAGAGUCCUGAAGGAACGUUGAAGACGACGACGUUGAUAGGCCGGGUGUGUAAGCGCAGCGAUGCGUUGAGCUAACCGGUACUAAUGAACCGUGAGGCUUAACCUUACAACGCCGAAG